CGGAUGAACUGAGGGUAGCGGAGAAAUUCCAAUCGAACCUGGAGAUAGCUGGUUCUCUCCGAAAUAGCUUUAGGGCUAGCCUCAAGUGAUGAUUAUUGGAGGUAGAGCACUGUUUGGACGAGGGGCCCCUCUCGGGUUACCGAAUUCAGACAAACUCCGAAUGCCAAUUAAUUUAACUUGGGAGUCAGAACAUGGGUGAUAAGGUCCGUGUUCGAAAGGGAAACAGCCCAGACCACCAGCUAAGGUCCCAAAAUAUAUGUUAAGUGGAAAAGGAUGUGGCGUUGCCCAGACAACUAGGAUGUUGGCUUAGAAGCAGCCAUCAUUUAAAGAGUGCGUAAUAGCUCACUAGUCGAGUGACACUGCGCCGAAAAUGUACCGGGGCUAAACAUAUUACCGAAGCUGUGGAUUGUCCUUUGGACAAUGGUAGGAGAGCGUUCUAAGGGCGUUGAAGCAUGAUCGUAAGGACAUGUGGAGCGCUUAGAAGUGAGAAUGCCGGUGUGAGUAGCGAAAGACGGGUGAGAAUCCCGUCCACCGAUUGACUAAGGUUUCCAGAGGAAGGCUCGUCCGCUCUGGGUUAGUCGGGUCCUAAGCUGAGGCCGACAGGCGUAGGCGAUGGAUAACAGGUUGAUAUUCCUGUACCACCUAUA
RNAcentral lists this ribosomal RNA (647 nucleotides) under Staphylococcus aureus. Its description in RNAcentral is "partial 23S ribosomal RNA". It matches the Rfam family "Bacterial large subunit ribosomal RNA", at positions 801 to 1452 of the family's 2925-position model. Lineage: Bacteria; Bacillati; Bacillota; Bacilli; Caryophanales; Staphylococcaceae. The record is from RNAcentral.